RNAcentral lists this long non-coding RNA (203 nucleotides) under Mytilus galloprovincialis (Mediterranean mussel). The record is from RNAcentral. Lineage: Eukaryota; Metazoa; Mollusca; Bivalvia; Mytilida; Mytilidae.
AUAUACAACAUGUAUUAAGUAGUAACAGCUUUUGACCAUCAAUUAUAUCAUAUUAAGAACACAUUGACAUAUAUAUAAAAACCGACGUUAUCCAUUUUUUUGUUUCAAAUUGCAAUUAGACACGUGUUACAAUGGAUUAAAAUGAUUAAAUUCUUUAACAAUUUUGUGAAUAUUCAAUUACAAUGUGUUGAAAUUCCAGCAGC